Molecule: ribosomal RNA, 253 nt
Filed under: uncultured bacterium
Lineage: Bacteria
Description: partial 16S ribosomal RNA
Rfam family: Bacterial small subunit ribosomal RNA
Source: RNAcentral
UACGGGGGGAGCAAGCGUUGUUCGGAUUUACUGGGCGUAAAGGGCGCGUAGGCGGCGCAACAAGUCACUUGUGAAAUCUCCGGGCUUAACCCGGAGCGGCCAAGUGAUACUGUCGUGCUAGAGUGCGGAAGGGGCUACUGGAAUUCUCGGUGUAGCGGUGAAAUGCGUAGAUAUCGAGAGGAACACCUGCGGCGAAGGCGGGUAGCUGGGCCGACACUGACGCUGAGGCGCGAAAGCCAGGGGAGCGAACGGG